Bubalus bubalis (water buffalo) is the source of this 1188-nucleotide long non-coding RNA. RefSeq lists it as uncharacterized. NCBI's taxonomy places the organism in Eukaryota, Metazoa, Chordata, Mammalia, Artiodactyla, Bovidae. The record is from RefSeq and is a predicted model, not a curated record. The transcript has 2 exons.
UCUUAGUUCCCCAACCAGGGAUCGAACCCAUGCCCCCCUACAAAGGAAGUGCAGAUUCUUAACCACUGAACCACCAGGAAAGUCCCUUAAAUAUAUGUUUCUUAAGCACCCACUGGUGACAGGCACAAUGGUUGCAGCUAGCAAAACCAGAUUCGGUCCCUGCCAUCAUGGCACUUAAGAGUCUCAGGGAAGGACAGACAGUGACCAGUCAGAUAAAGGCACAGUGGGCCUGGCAACACGCUAUGACUAGAGGAUGAGUUUUCAACAGAGGACUUGAACUCAGUCAGGGUCGGCCAGGGUCAGCUUCUUCAAAGAAGUGACUCUUGUACCAAUAUCCCCAGGGUAAUGAGGGUCUGACUAGGUGAAGGGUACAAAAAAAAGUGUUCCCAGAAGAGGCACAGCAUGUGGGAAACCUGGGUCAAGAGGGCACAGGGCCCGUUCGAGGCACCGAGAGGGGCCAGCAGUGUUGUGAGGUGAGGCUGUCGAGGUUCCGGGCGAGUCAGACCCUGCAGAACCUUGUUGUCUGUGGAGAAUUCUCAUGCUGAGGAUCACGGAGAGCCUCUGAAGAAUUCUCAGCAAAGGAAGACAGCAUCAAGUCAGCAUUUUGCCUCCUCUGAAUACUAUUAGGAAGGGACAGGUGAUGGUGGAAGGGAUGGUGAGGGCAGAGAGGAGCAGAGUAGAUACAGGGGGACCAGUGAGGAGAUGGUGAUGGAGUGAUGACAUCCUCGUGAGACAUGAUGGGGGCCUGAUUGGAGCCAUGACAGUCCAGAGUGGUCACACUCGGAUACGAUUUAGGAUUUUGAAUUAACAGGAUUUGGUGAUAGAUGGAAUGAGGAGUCGAGGCCAACUCCCAGCUCUGCACAGGUUCAUCUGAAGGGGGUACUGGAAAGGAACAUGGAACUAAGAAGCCACCACCAACCGGAAGAGUUCAGGAAAGGUCCAAAGGAGAUAUCACGUGUCCCACCACCUCCCAGAAUCCUCACUGGAAUUCAUCUUGGCUGAGCAAUGCGUGCACCACCAAGAAGGACCCUGAGUCAGAGUGAUUGGUCAGAGACAACCCAGAAAGUAACUCCAACACCAUAAAACCCAGGACUGCAAGCCACAUGGCAGAGCAGUCCUCCUGGGUCUCCUUACCCUCCUGCCCCCCACCCAGGCAACCCUUCCCAAUAAAGUCUCUUGCUCUGUCAA